UUGUCCCACCUGACCCCAUGCCGAACUCAGAAGUGAAACGCCGUAGCGCCGAUGGUAGUGUGGGGUCUCCCCAUGCGAGAGUAGGGAACUGCCAGGC
This 97-nucleotide ribosomal RNA is filed under the name Salmonella enterica subsp. enterica serovar Enteritidis. Lineage: Bacteria; Pseudomonadati; Pseudomonadota; Gammaproteobacteria; Enterobacterales; Enterobacteriaceae. The record is from RNAcentral.